GACGAACGCUGGCGGCGUGCUUAACACAUGCAAGUCGAACGGAAAGGCCCUGCUUUUGUGGGGUGCUCGAGUGGCGAACGGGUGAGUAACACGUGAGUAACCUGCCCUUGACUUUGGGAUAACUUCAGAAAACUGGGGCUAAUACCGGAUAGGAGCUCCUGCUGCAUGGUGGGGGUUGGAAAGUUUCGGCGGUUGGGGAUGGACUCGCGGCUUAUCAGCUUGUUGGUGGGGUAGUGGCUUACCAAGGCUUUGACGGGUAGCCGGCCUGAGAGGGUGACCGGCCACAUUGGGACUGAGAUACGGCCCAGACUCCUACGGGAGGCAGCAGUGGGGAAUAUUGCACAAUGAGCGGAAGCCUGAUGCAGCAACGCCGCGUGCGGGAUGACGGCCUUCGGGUUGUAAACCGCUUUCGCCUGUGACGAAGCGUGAGUGACGGUAAUGGGUAAAGAAGCACCGGCUAACUACGUG
RNAcentral lists this ribosomal RNA (468 nucleotides) under uncultured bacterium. RNAcentral describes it as "partial 16S ribosomal RNA". It matches the Rfam family "Bacterial small subunit ribosomal RNA", at positions 28 to 507 of the family's 1533-position model. The record is from RNAcentral.